This is a non-coding RNA of Desmophyllum pertusum, 77 nucleotides long. NCBI's taxonomy places the organism in Eukaryota, Metazoa, Cnidaria, Anthozoa, Scleractinia, Caryophylliidae. The record is from the annotation of a GenBank genome assembly.
GACGCGGUGGCUUAAUGGCCGGUUUGCGCGUUGGACUCCGGAUCGAGCGGUCCUGGUUCGAGCCCUGGUCUGGGUCA